GUGUCAGCAGCCGCGGUAAUACGAAGGUGGCAAGCGUUGUUCGGAUUUACUGGGCGUAAAGGGAGCGUAGGCGGUCUGGUAAGCCCUCCGGGAAAUCUCCCGGCCUAACCGGGAAAGGUCGGAGGGGACUGCUUGACUAGAGGGCGGGAGAGGAGCGCGGAAUUCCCGGUGUAGCGGUGAAAUGCGUAGAGAUCGGGAGGAAGGCCGGUGGCGAAGGCGGCGCUCUGGAACGAUCCUGACGCUGAGGCUCGAAAGCGUGGGGAGCAAACAGGAUUAGAAACCCUCGUAGUCC
Molecule: ribosomal RNA, 292 nt
Filed under: uncultured bacterium
Lineage: Bacteria
Description: partial 16S ribosomal RNA
Rfam family: Bacterial small subunit ribosomal RNA
Source: RNAcentral